AUAUGAAGCUUCAUAAUUAAGCAUGCCACGGCAUUCGCAUUCCGUUCUUCCAUUUUCGUCCUGGGAGAGCAUAACAGCUAAGACUAAUCAGGUAAGACCAGGUAACACGGUUGGUUUGAAAUUUACAUAUUAGGGGAACAAGUAAUUUACUUAUACUCCCUAAUUCCAUGGUUUUUGAUGUGUGACUUUAACCAUAAUUUAAACUAUAAUGACUUUAUAAAAUUCAAUAAGUUCAAGAGAUUAUGAAAGUGUUUUUGGGACAAAUCUACACAUAGCAUUUUUAUGUUUUAAAGAUAAGUAUUUCAAAAGUUAAUGACGGUUAAAGUUCCAAAGUUUGAUCAGGUCUUAUCAAAUUAAACAUCAAAUAAUGAUAACCGGAGCAAGUAUUUCAACACGUACUUCUCUUCACUUCUAAGCUCCAACGAAUCCGACAAGUUGGAAUCUACAAGGGUUGAAUCCUUUUUUGUUUAAAUUGCAGCAACCAAGGUCUUUUGAAUCCUUUCUUUUGUGCAUUGAGUUAUAGGUACUAUUUAGUUUACCUAAAAAGUUAAUGUGAAUUGCAAACUGAUGUAGAAGGCUAUAAUUUCUUUAUACUUCAACAACCACCACCAUCUUCUAUAGUGUGCAACCAGGAGUCUCAGUGGCAGCUAGGAUCAUAUCAUAUGAUUUUCGAUCCUUCUAGGAAGAAUCGCUGUCCAUAUUCAUGGACACCGAUUAGAAAUUCAUAGGUACUUUAUCUUAAAAGGGAUACUUUAGCAUACCAGACCCCCCCAUUUUGUCAUUCCAGUAGACUGUUAAAGGUAGUUUCUACCCAACUACCAGCUGAAAUUUUUUGCUGAUUUCUACCUAGUUUUGGAUUGUAGGAUCAUCUUGAUAGAGACACCUGCCGACUAUAGGAAGCACGGAGCAACCUCACUCGUUCUUCUACGCAUGAACUAAUAUGUUGAUCUGCUUUGGCACAGUGUCAGUGAACCAAUCAAAAGACAAAAACAGGGGAAUUCUUAGCAAUAAGAAGAGGUUGGGAAGAGGACUGAAGGGCAUGGUGCCGGAGAGAGAACUCCAGAGAGGGCAGCAUCAAGGUGAACGAGAAAGAAAGAGAAGUAGAGAAUGAAAUGGGGGAUGCAUUUGUGCUGUCAACUUGCAAAAAACAUGUCCAUGAUCCGAUUUGUAAUUUCGAGCUGUGCAAAUCUCCUAGCACCGAAAUUUUGUUCUGUUGUUACUAUUGGUAGUUAGUUUGGAGAAGUGUGACUAAGUUAGGUGUAGCCUUG
Molecule: long non-coding RNA, 1268 nt
Filed under: Oryza sativa (Asian cultivated rice)
Lineage: Eukaryota; Viridiplantae; Streptophyta; Magnoliopsida; Poales; Poaceae
Description: long non-coding RNA (OSAT_LNC000739)
Source: RNAcentral